UGGCUCAAUGGUAGAGCGUUCGACUCAAAUACCGAAGGUCGUGGGUUCGAAUCCCAG
Molecule: non-coding RNA, 57 nt
Organism: Schistocephalus solidus
Lineage: Eukaryota; Metazoa; Platyhelminthes; Cestoda; Diphyllobothriidea; Diphyllobothriidae
Source: Rfam